UCCGGGCUGGGGAUGUGGCUCAGUUGGUAGAGUGCUUGCCUUGUAAGCAGGAGGCCCUGGGUUCGAUCCCCAGCACUGGAA
Sciurus carolinensis (gray squirrel) is the source of this 81-nucleotide non-coding RNA. Lineage: Eukaryota; Metazoa; Chordata; Mammalia; Rodentia; Sciuridae. The record is from the annotation of a RefSeq genome assembly.